Catharus ustulatus (Swainson's thrush) is the source of this 803-nucleotide long non-coding RNA. RefSeq lists it as uncharacterized. NCBI's taxonomy places the organism in Eukaryota, Metazoa, Chordata, Aves, Passeriformes, Turdidae. The record is from RefSeq and is a predicted model, not a curated record. The transcript has 3 exons.
AUAUGCAAAUCAAGGGGGCGUGUCCCGCCAACCACUACGCGCACCCGUUCUGCAGGGCGCGGCCGCUCUCGGGGUCUCGGGGCAUACUCCCGCGGUCAAGGGGCUCGGCGGGGCCACGCCGGUUCGUGCCGGGAGUGUGCGAGCACGUGUUGGGGACUUUCUGUGUGCUUUGUGUGGGUGCGUGCAGCACACCAGGGCGCGGCGGUAGGUGCUGUGUUAAGGCUGUACUCUCAGGGAUCGUUUGAGUAGGUUGUUAUUAGAAGAGGGUAAUCUGCCCUGAUUGGCGUCACAAAGCACGAGAAAACGGGCGCAGAACCUCCAUGUGUCAAACGUGACCCAACAUCUGCUUUUGCUUGCUGCACACCAUGUGUGGUUGAAGAAAGGAACCGAGAUGAUUGGUGCAGCCUUGUGAAGACAGGACUUGAGUACCCUUACAGUGAUGAAACAUUUCUGAAGGUCCUGAACGUUGCCAUCCAGUUACUAUACAAGAAAGAAUCCUCUGUUAGUCAGAGCUUAGUCAAGCUCUCCAAACUUCACGUGAUGGUCACACAGCACUCUCUAUUUUUGUCAACCAUCCUGAGGUCAAUAGAAGAAGAUGGCACAACAAUCCAGACAAGAGAGGUGCUGGUGGACAUUGUGCUGACAGCUGUGCAGCUCGGCUCCUCUCUCUGUGGGAGCAGUCACCUCCCAGUGCUUCUGGGAGCCUACAGGGCCACGCUGAGCGCCGCCAGGUGAGUGUCAACCUGGCCAAGGCACUUUGUUCUACAUCUCGUUCUUGUGUCCACAGGUCACUAACUUUGGGU